Long non-coding RNA from Cervus elaphus (red deer), 374 nucleotides. RefSeq lists it as uncharacterized. The transcript has 3 exons. The record is from RefSeq and is a predicted model, not a curated record. NCBI's taxonomy places the organism in Eukaryota, Metazoa, Chordata, Mammalia, Artiodactyla, Cervidae.
GACAGGGAGGCCUGGCGUGCUGCCGUCCAUGGGGUCGCAGAGAGUCAGACACGAUUGAAUCCCCAGAUCACGGAGGCAGCGCUGAGGGAGACCACGGCCAGGGUGAGCCCUCAAAAUCACUCUCAAGUUUGCAAGAUGAAUGGAACCCGGGCGGAGCGCUCAGCUGCACCUCGCAGACACGCCCUGCUCCUUCCCAGAUGUGCCUGUGUCUUAUCUGGUCUUCACGAAAGCAGAAGACUCCCCGGGUGCCCCGCCCAGGGCGUUCCGGUUUCGUUGGGAGCAACCUGACAAUUCAAUCACUGCAGACUGUGUGUCCAUAUUCCACAUAUAAAGGGGAAGUGAAAGCGGAAGUCGCUCAGUCAUGUCUGACUCUC